GUCUGGAUAGCUCAGUUGGUAGAGCAUCAAACUUUUAGUCUGAGUGUCCAGGGUUCAAGUCCCUGUUUGGGUG
This 73-nucleotide transfer RNA is filed under the name Vicugna pacos (alpaca). RNAcentral's name for it is "tRNA-Lys (TTT) (tRNA-Lys-TTT-6-1)". It matches the Rfam family "tRNA". From Rfam's summary of the family: Transfer RNA (tRNA) molecules are approximately 80 nucleotides in length. Their secondary structure includes four short double-helical elements and three loops (D, anti-codon, and T loops). Lineage: Eukaryota; Metazoa; Chordata; Mammalia; Artiodactyla; Camelidae. The record is from Rfam by way of RNAcentral.